Molecule: long non-coding RNA, 858 nt
Organism: Corticium candelabrum
Lineage: Eukaryota; Metazoa; Porifera; Homoscleromorpha; Homosclerophorida; Plakinidae
Exons: 5
Source: RefSeq, a predicted model, not a curated record
UUUCUUACAAAAUGGAAAAUAAUGUUGAUCUAGAUCUAGAAUGUGUAGAUUUAUAAAAGCACUUGCAAUAGGAGUCCCUGACUCAGACAACAGGAACGUAGGAAAGUCCUUCCCAGUCGGCUGCCAGUUGAAGGAAUCUUCAGAACACCAGUCACUCACAGUUCUCACGUUACUGAACUGAUAAGACUUCUGUACUCUGAAGAAGAAGACCAAUUGCAUUGAUGCAUCUUGAAUGGAAAAUGAGCAGCUACCAGAUGUACUAAGUCAGAUGCAGCUUUGUAGUCAGCUUGUGUUUGAGCACAAACAACAUCAUUAGUAUCAGUGCACUUGAUCCAACCGUCAUCUGGCACUCAGGAUAAAUGCUCUCAUUAGAUUCGUUUGCCUCGGAGUCCAUGCUGUCUGUUUCAAAGUUUACAAAAUUCAUGUCAUUAGCAUGAAUGUUGUUUUCAUUAUAAUCUUCAUCUGCUUCUUCAUCAUUGUGGUCUUGAUCAUCAUCAUCUUGAUCUGCUAAAAACAAAUCUGAUUUAUGCAUUUUCAAGCAUCAGACUGGUUGCAACUACCUUCAAAGUUAGUUUCCAUAUCAACUUCUUGAUCAGUUGUGUCUGACAAGUCGUCAUCUGAAAUUACUGUGCUCUGAUGAUCAAUCGUAUCUGAAGAAUGUGAUAUGGAUUUGGUACACUCAUCUGUCUGUCUGAAUAUAAGUUGGUUCUUAUCAAUUUUGAACUGUAGGUCACUGCAGUUACCUAAACGUAUGCUGCCUUACAAUUUUACAGAAUGUAGUAUAUAUUGAUGUAUUGGAAUAUAUUGAAAACAUGAAUUGAAAUUGAAUUUUGUAAAUUUUGUUAAGGAAUAAUGAGA